CCAACUCCAGGAGCCUUGCUAUAUGGUGGAGUUGUGGAUUUUAAUUCCUAAAUCUGCCUUUUGGUGCUUUUCAUAGUAGCAUUUUUUUUCCUCCGAUCAGGGCUGAGAGAGCAGACAGAGUGGGAUUUUUUUGGUGAUAAAUGGUGGCCUGGUGGCUGGGGGUGUGCCUGUCUCUCACAGAUUGUCUGUGGGAGUGUGCUGGGGUGCUCAGCUUCAUCUGUGCCCUGCCAGGAGGGCGGAAGGUGAGCAGGGGAAGUCUGGAAGCACACUGCUGGGAGUAUCCAGGCGUGGAGUGUGGUGUACGUGGAGCUGCUGGAGGCACACUGUCAAAUUUUGCAUUUUUCCUAACGCAGAACCUGCUGCUGGAAGCUCAUGGUAUUCACGUCAGGUCUGCUGAGAAGAUGAAAAUCAGUCAUUUUCCUGGAGCCACCACUCAAGGAUGGGUCCACAGUCCCUUUGGAUGUGCUUGGUGGGCUGAAAACAGCAACAGAGUGGCAGGUCAAGGUGAUGGGGAGUCCUUCCUGUGCCUUCCCACACAGCUGGCUGGUGACUCCCUUUUACUCAGAGCUGCAGCAGACUGGCAGAGGAGCUCUCAGGUGGUGUUAUCCAUAGGGAGCCUGCAAUCCCAACCUCGCCAGCUGCUGAACCUCUGGGGACAUCAGCAUUCCUUUCUGGGACAACCUGGGACCUACCUCACCCUAAGCAGAGACAGAUGAUCUCCAAGUGCUCCACGCCUUCCCAGAAGCUGCUGUGGGGAGUGAUUUCUAAUCCAAAGAGAAUUUCUUCCUCCCAGCAUCCCUCAGGGACAUUUUCCUUUGCCCCAAAAGGCUUCCUGCUGUGUUGAGUCAUGCUCGAAGCGGUGCUUGUUAAAUAAGUGCCGCUGAGCUCUGCUUUAAACAAACAAAGUUGAUUUACCAGGGCUGUAGGAUGGCCAGGUAGCUAAGGUGUUAUUUAAGAGUAUUGGCACUUGGAAGGCCGAGUGCUAAAAGCACUUCAUUUUUAUUUCAGCUCUUAAUUGAAAAUCAGCUGGUUUGUCUUGUUCUCCUCCCCUGCUCCCAUCCCCACGCCGGGAUAAGGGCUGUUAACACCACACAGCGUGUUUGUCAAAAAGUGGCACCAGCCCAGGCUUUCACUUGUGGUUUAUUAGUUUAAUUACCCAGGGUCUUGCAAAGACUUCUCGGCGAGGCAGAAAUGAGAGAAUCUAAUGUUUCUUGGGCUGGAUCCUUACAUCACGUGAAGCCACCUGGUGAAGGCACCGAGGUAAAAACGUGGCUCCUGUGAUUAACCUUGACUGAAUUCAAUAAUACCUCGGAGUCACAUUAUUGCUGACCUUGUGCUUUGCUACCUUCUCAUCUUUUUAAUUUGUCUUUUCUUCCUGCCUUUGCAAUAACAGGCAGAAGUGUUAAAAAAUAAAACCCUCCUGGCUGCCUUGUGGGAAAGAGCUCUUCUGCUUGCAAUGAUUUUUAAAUUUUCUUUUUUUACUUUUGGUAUGUUUCUUGCUAUUUGUGUUUUUCUGACAUUUGUGCACACAAACACUUGCAUGAGAAUAGCUGCUCAAGAGCUGUUUGGAGGUGUCCUUGUGAUUUUUUAAAAAAUGAAUUUGUGUGAUGGUGUGCUGAAUACUGCCAGCCAUCAAGAUAAUUCAGCAUUUGUUCACACUACAAGAAGUUCUUCCUAUGUGCCAUUUUAGGAGAUGGUCCUGACAUUUUUUGUAACAAAGGAAGGGUUGAAGCUGGGAUGUCCACAAAGACAAGUCCAGAUGCUUCCUGGGCUUCUUUAGAGUGAUUUGCUAUUCUUUUUGGGUGUUUUGGUGAU
Molecule: long non-coding RNA, 1815 nt
Organism: Passer domesticus (house sparrow)
Lineage: Eukaryota; Metazoa; Chordata; Aves; Passeriformes; Passeridae
Exons: 5
Source: RefSeq, a predicted model, not a curated record